GAUGAACGCUGGCGGCGUGCCUAAUACAUGCAAGUCGAGCGAACGGACGAGAAGCUUGCUUCUCUGAUGUUAGCGGCGGACGGGUGAGUAACACGUGGAUAACCUACCUAUAAGACUGGGAUAACUUCGGGAAACCUUAGCUAAUACCGGAUAAUAUUUUGAACCGCAUGGUUCAAAAGUGAAAGACGGUCUUGCUGUCACUUAUAGAUGGAUCCGCGCUGCAUUAGCAAGUUGGUAAGGUAACGGCUUACCAAGGCAACGAUGCAUAGCCGACCUGAGAGGGUGAUCGGCCACACUGGAACUGAGACACGGUCCAGACUCCUACGGGAGGCAGCAGUAGGGAAUCUUCCGCAAUGGGCGAAAGCCUGACGGAGCAACGCCGCGUGAGUGAUGAAGGUCUUCGGAUCGUAAAACUCUGUUAUUAGGGAAGAACAUAUGUGUAAGUAACUGUGCACAUCUUGACGGUACCUAAUCAGAAAGCCACGGCUAACUACGUG
This 497-nucleotide ribosomal RNA is filed under the name uncultured bacterium. RNAcentral's name for it is "partial 16S ribosomal RNA". It matches the Rfam family "Bacterial small subunit ribosomal RNA", at positions 28 to 507 of the family's 1533-position model. The record is from RNAcentral.